RNAcentral lists this transfer RNA (71 nucleotides) under Monodonta labio. RNAcentral describes it as "tRNA-Asn". It matches the Rfam family "tRNA". Rfam says of the family: Transfer RNA (tRNA) molecules are approximately 80 nucleotides in length. Their secondary structure includes four short double-helical elements and three loops (D, anti-codon, and T loops). Further hydrogen bonds mediate the characteristic L-shaped molecular structure. tRNAs have two regions of fundamental functional importance: the anti-codon, which is responsible for specific mRNA codon recognition, and the 3' end, to which the tRNAs corresponding amino acid is attached (by aminoacyl-tRNA synthetases). tRNAs cope with the degeneracy of the genetic code in two manners: having more than one tRNA (with a specific anti-codon) for a particular amino acid; and 'wobble' base-pairing, i.e. permitting non-standard base-pairing at the 3rd anti-codon position. Lineage: Eukaryota; Metazoa; Mollusca; Gastropoda; Trochida; Trochidae. The record is from RNAcentral.
UGGAUGGAAGCCAAUUUUCAGGGCGCCUAGCUGUUAAUUAGGAAGUUGUAGCUUUAGGUCUACCCAUCCAG